Molecule: ribosomal RNA, 419 nt
Filed under: bacterium
Lineage: Bacteria
Description: partial 16S ribosomal RNA
Rfam family: Bacterial small subunit ribosomal RNA
Source: RNAcentral
UGGGGGAUAUUGCACAAUGGGCGCAAGCCUGAUGCAGCGACGCCGCGUGGGGGAUGAAGGCCUUCGGGUUGUAAACUUCUUUUGCUCUGAACAAGGCGCACUUUGGGGUGUGUUGAGUGUAGGGGUUGAUUAGCGCCGGCUAACUACGUGCCAGCAGCCGCGGUAAUACGUAGGGCGCGAGCGUUGUCCGGAAUUAUUGGGCGUAAAGGGCUUGUAGGUGGCUGGUUGCGUCUGUCGUGAAAGCUCAUGGCUUAACUGUGGGUUUGCGGUGGGUACGGGCUGGCUUGAGUGCAGUAGGGGAGGCUGGAAUUCCUGGUGUAGCGGUGGAAUGCGCAGAUAUCAGGAGGAAUACCGGUGGCGAAGGCGGGUCUCUGGGCUGUUACUGACACUGAGGAGUGAAAGCAUGGGGAGCGAACAGG